This 403-nucleotide ribosomal RNA is filed under the name bacterium. Its description in RNAcentral is "partial 16S ribosomal RNA". It matches the Rfam family "Bacterial small subunit ribosomal RNA", at positions 355 to 776 of the family's 1533-position model. RNAcentral also lists the same sequence under 1 other name. The record is from RNAcentral.
UGGGGAAUAUUGCACAAUGGGGGAAACCCUGAUGCAGCGACGCCGCGUGAACGAAGAAGGUAUUCGUAUCGUAAAGUUCUGUCCUAUGGGAAGAUAAUGACAGUACCAUAGAAGAAAGCUCCGGCUAAAUACGUGCCAGCAGCCGCGGUAAUACGUAUGGAGCGAGCGUUGUCCGGAAUUAUUGGGCGUAAAGGGUACGCAGGCGGUUUAAUAAGUCGAAUGUUAAAGAUCGGGGCUCAACCCCGUAAAGCAUUGGAAACUGAUAAACUUGAGUAGUGGAGAGGAAAGUGGAAUUCCUAGUGUAGUGGUGAAAUACGUAGAUAUUGGGAGGAAUACCAGUAGCGAAGGCGACUUUCUGGACACAAACUGACGCUGAGGUACGAAAGCGUGGGGAGCAAACAGG